ACUAAGCGUACACGGUGGAUGCCCUGGCAGUCAGAGGCGAUGAAGGGCGUGCUAAUCUGCGAUAAGCGCCGGUAAGGUGAUAUGAACCGUUAUAACCGGCGAUACCCGAAUGGGGAAACCCAGUGUGAUUCGUCACACUAUCAUUAACUGAAUCCAUAGGUUAAUGAGGCGAACCGGGGGAACUGAAACAUCUAAGUACCCCGAGGAAAAGAAAUCAACCGAGAUUCCCCCAGUAGCGGCGAGCGAACGGGGAGGAGCCCAGAGCCUGAAUCAGCAUGUGUGUUAGUGGAAGCGUCUGGAAAGGCGCGCGAUACAGGGUGACAGCCCCGUACACAAAAGCGCAUGUGCUGUGAGCUCGAUGAGUAGGGCGGGACACGUGGUAUCCUGUCUGAAUAUGGGGGGACCAUCCUCCAAGGCUAAAUACUCCUGACUGACCGAUAGUGAACCAGUACCGUGAGGGAAAGGCGAAAAGAACCCCGGCGAGGGGAGUGAAAAAGAACCUGAAACCGUGUACGUACAAGCAGUGGGAGCACCCUUCGGGGUGUGACUGCGUACCUUUUGUAUAAUGGGUCAGCGACUUAUAUUCUGUAGCAAGGUUAACCGUAUAGGGGAGCCGGAGGGAAACCGAGUCUUAACCGGGCGUUAAGUUGCAGGGUAUAGACCCGAAACCCGGUGAUCUAGCCAUGGGCAGGUUGAAGGUUGGGUAACACUAACUGGAGGACCGAACCGACUAAUGUUGAAAAAUUAGCGGAUGACCUGUGGCUGGGGGUGAAAGGCCAAUCAAACCGGGAGAUAGCUGGUUCUCCCCGAAAGCUAUUUAGGUAGCGCCUCGUGAAUUCAUCUCCGGGGGUAGAGCACUGUUUCGGCUAGGGGGCCAUCCCGGCUUACCAACCCGAUGCAAACUGCGAAUACCGGAGAAUGUUAUCACGGGAGACACACGGCGGGUGCUAACGUCCGUCGUGAAGAGGGAAACAACCCAGACCGCCAGCUAAGGUCCCAAAGUCAUGGUUAAGUGGGAAACGAUGUGGGAAGGCCCAGACAGCCAGGAUGUUGGCUUAGAAGCAGCCAUCAUUUAAAGAAAGCGUAAUAGCUCACUGGUCGAGUCGGCCUGCGCGGAAGAUGUAACGGGGCUAAACCAUGCACCGAAGCUGCGGCAGCGAACGUAUCACCCAAGACAACUUUACGGAGUUGACGAUUGACGGAGCGAAGCGACGUCAAAGCGUUCAUUAAAGUCGAGUUGGCUUAGGGAUACGUUCGUUGGGUAGGGGAGCGUUCUGUAAGCCUGUGAAGGUGUGUCGUGAGGCAUGCUGGAGGUAUCAGAAGUGCGAAUGCUGACAUAAGUAACGAUAAAGCGGGUGAAAAGCCCGCUCGCCGGAAGACCAAGGGUUCCUGUCCAACGUUAAUCGGGGCAGGGUGAGUCGACCCCUAAGGCGAGGCCGAAAGGCGUAGUCGAUGGGAAACGGGUUAAUAUUCCCGUACUUGGUGUUACUGCGAAGGGGGGACGGAGAAGGCUAUGUUGGCCGGGCGACGGUUGUCCCGGUUUAAGCGUGUAGGUGUGUGUUCCAGGUAAAUCCGGUUCACUUUAACACUGAGGCGUGACGACGAGGCACUACGGUGCUGAAGCAACAAAUGCCCUGCUUCCAGGAAAAGCCUCUAAGCAUCAGGUAACACGAAAUCGUACCCCAAACCGACACAGGUGGUCAGGUAGAGAAUACCAAGGCGCUUGAGAGAACUCGGGUGAAGGAACUAGGCAAAAUGGUGCCGUAACUUCGGGAGAAGGCACGCUGACACGUAGGUGAAGUGAUUUACUCAUGGAGCUGAAGUCAGUCGAAGAUACCAGCUGGCUGCAACUGUUUAUUAAAAACACAGCACUGUGCAAACACGAAAGUGGACGUAUACGGUGUGACGCCUGCCCGGUGCCGGAAGGUUAAUUGAUGGGGUCAGCGCAAGCGAAGCUCCUGAUCGAAGCCCCGGUAAACGGCGGCCGUAACUAUAACGGUCCUAAGGUAGCGAAAUUCCUUGUCGGGUAAGUUCCGACCUGCACGAAUGGCGUAAUGAUGGCCAGGCUGUCUCCACCCGAGACUCAGUGAAAUUGAACUCGCUGUGAAGAUGCAGUGUACCCGCGGCAAGACGGAAAGACCCCGUGAACCUUUACUAUAGCUUGACACUGAACAUUGAGCCUUGAUGUGUAGGAUAGGUGGGAGGCUUUGAAGUGUGGACGCCAGUCUGCAUGGAGCCGACCUUGAAAUACCACCCUUUAAUGUUUGAUGUUCUAACGUGGACCCGUAAUCCGGGUUGCGGACAGUGUCUGGUGGGUAGUUUGACUGGGGCGGUCUCCUCCUAAAGAGUAACGGAGGAGCACGAAGGUUGGCUAAUCCUGGUCGGACAUCAGGAGGUUAGUGCAAUGGCAUAAGCCAGCUUGACUGCGAGCGUGACGGCGCGAGCAGGUGCGAAAGCAGGUCAUAGUGAUCCGGUGGUUCUGAAUGGAAGGGCCAUCGCUCAACGGAUAAAAGGUACUCCGGGGAUAACAGGCUGAUACCGCCCAAGAGUUCAUAUCGACGGCGGUGUUUGGCACCUCGAUGUCGGCUCAUCACAUCCUGGGGCUGAAGUAGGUCCCAAGGGUAUGGCUGUUCGCCAUUUAAAGUGGUACGCGAGCUGGGUUUAGAACGUCGUGAGACAGUUCGGUCCCUAUCUGCCGUGGGCGCUGGAGAACUGAGGGGGGCUGCUCCUAGUACGAGAGGACCGGAGUGGACGCAUCACUGGUGUUCGGGUUGUCAUGCCAAUGGCACUGCCCGGUAGCUAAAUGCGGAAGAGAUAAGUGCUGAAAGCAUCUAAGCACGAAACUUGCCCCGAGAUGAGUUCUCCCUGAGACUUAGAGUCUCCUGAAGGAACGUUGAAGACGACGACGUUGAUAGGCCGGGUGUGUAAGCGCAGCGAUGCGUUGAGCUAACCGGUACUAAUGAACCGUGAGGCUUAACC
Molecule: ribosomal RNA, 2979 nt
Filed under: Salmonella enterica subsp. enterica serovar Typhimurium
Lineage: Bacteria; Pseudomonadati; Pseudomonadota; Gammaproteobacteria; Enterobacterales; Enterobacteriaceae
Description: bacterial LSU rRNA
Rfam family: Bacterial large subunit ribosomal RNA
Source: RNAcentral